UACGUAGGGUGCAAGCGUUAAUCGGAAUUACUGGGCGUAAAGCGUGCGCAGGCGGUUUUGUAAGUCAGAUGUGAAAUCCCCGGGCUUAACCUGGGAACUGCGUUUGAAACUACAAGGCUAGAGUGUGGCAGAGGGGGGUGGAAUUCCACGUGUAGCAGUGAAAUGCGUAGAGAUGCGGAGGAACACCGAUGGCGAAGGCAGCCCCCUGGGCUAGCACUGACGCUCAGGCACGAAAGCGUGGGGAGCAAACAGG
This 253-nucleotide ribosomal RNA is filed under the name uncultured bacterium. RNAcentral's name for it is "partial 16S ribosomal RNA". It matches the Rfam family "Bacterial small subunit ribosomal RNA", at positions 524 to 776 of the family's 1533-position model. The record is from RNAcentral.